CCCUUGUUUAUUUCGCUCUCCUGUCAAAUCAUGUAAUUUCGCUACCUCCAAUGGUAGACGCUACAACGAUGGGUGUCGUCAAGAAAGGUACGAUUAAAGGAAUCAGCUAGGAAUUAGACGAUCACCAUUGGUAUAGGUGAGUUGUUUAAUAGUUGUUGCUUUGGGAUAAAUGCAUGUUUUGGAUUUAUUCAUAAUCAGGAAUAGCUGGAAAGGAAAGAAACGUGUUGCUACGUGAACCCGGAAAGGCCGGGACGAAUUUUAAAAAAAAAUCUAGAGACGAUCGUUCUGAGUGUGCCACCUACACAUUCAAACGUGUACACAAGCACAGUAUUCCCUAUCUAUGUAAUGUGUUUUCAUAAUUAUGUGAUAUAGGGCAAAAAAAGGUAGCAGCUUUUUGUAUCUUGUUGUUAAGCAUUUCCAGGGGAGAUAAUGUUAUUUUUCACGGUGUGUUCGAUAGGUUUGUUACAUUGUAACAUUAUAUAAUACACACUCAUAAAGUGGAUUAAAAUAGCCUCCCACACUCAAUUAACUGAAUUUCAAUUAUUCUAUUUACCGUAGUGCUAUUAUAUAAGACUUCGGAGGUUCAUAUCACUUAUAUUCAACGUUUUUAUAUCGGAUUUUUUUUUACUAUUGAUGUUGAACGGUUCAAAGUAAUAAAAAAAAAUCCGAUAAAACCGUUGAAUGUAAAUGAUAUGAAUCUCAGAAGUCUUAUAUAUUGUCCUCUAAUAUAAGACCGGAGGUUCAUAUCAUUUACAUUCAACAUUUUUUAUCGAACUUUUGUUUACUAUCAAUGUUGAACGGUUCAACGGUUCGACAUUGGUAGUUAAAAAAAAAUCCGAUAAAAAAUAACGGUUCAACAUUGAUAUAAAAAAAAAUCCGAUAAACAUGUUGAAUGUAAAUGAAAUGAAACUCUGAAGCCUUACAUUAUAGGACUAUCGUUUAUUAGUUCUUUAUCCUAACUAAAUGUUUUUUGUGGUGUACAUUACAAAAAAAAAGGGGGGGGGGUUCAAAAACACCAAAAUACCUUAACAAUCCUACAAUAUCUGUUUACAGAAUGAGAGAGAUAUUUCGUAUUCUAAAACUAAUUUUUUCUCACAUGUUUGUUAGAUAUGUUGAAAAUACAGACAAAAUUUUUAAUGUUUAGUACGUAUAUCCAUCCCCUCUUUUUCAAUUCAUUAGUUCAAGAUACAGCUCUGAAGAAUAUGCAAUAACCUACAUUAUUCUAACAUGUGAAGACCAAUGAAAACAUUUGAUAUGAUUUGAAAACAAGGCCAAUUAAGUAGGAACUUUGGGUUUCGUAGACAUAAAUUAUAAUUCAACAUUUUCGAUUAAUAUUUUAAAUUUUCUUUAUUUCAUAUUCUAGUAUAUUUAAUAACAUGUUUAUAUUUUGUGAUGCAUCUGAUGUAUAAAUCCAGUGGCAGAUCCGGGAAAGAGCUCUUAGUUCCGAUCCGUUUGUACGGGGAACAUGUGGUUGCAACCCCCUCUUUAAUUGCCUGUUCGAUUUUUAUGUUUGCAGUGUCGAAAAGGGAGAUAGACAGCAGUUUUAUCAAGAAGUUAUGUGAAAGUUCUGCUAUACAUCUGACAGUCAGGAAUUAUUCUGAAGUACACAUGUCGACCAGAGGCAUAGAACAGAGAGGAGAGGUUUUAAAGUACCAGAUGCUUAUCUGAGAUUCCAAUUUGAACUAAAGAAAGCAAUAUAUAAAGAUAUGUAGGAGAAAUAAUCUAUAUGAAUAAAGUUAUGCCACAAAA
This 1749-nucleotide long non-coding RNA is filed under the name Mytilus galloprovincialis (Mediterranean mussel). Lineage: Eukaryota; Metazoa; Mollusca; Bivalvia; Mytilida; Mytilidae. The record is from RNAcentral.